RNAcentral lists this long non-coding RNA (1015 nucleotides) under Malus domestica (apple). RNAcentral's name for it is "long non-coding RNA (MDOM_LNC002572)". Lineage: Eukaryota; Viridiplantae; Streptophyta; Magnoliopsida; Rosales; Rosaceae. The record is from RNAcentral.
AGACCUCCAAUGGAUUCAGCAACCGCCAUAGUCAUGCUGAGCGGCAGGACAUUGUGGAUCUGAACCCAGAAAGUUCCCACAAAUAGAGGAGCCCAUCGAUUAAGACCAGAUUCUGUUCUGUCCGCCACUAAUACCAAGUCGUUCUUGAAGGUCCAAGGUUGGUCCGCAUCCACUACUCUGCUCAGAUCUCGUUGCCCCGCAAAGCGCGCCAAGAACCGUCGGUCCCCAAUAUCUCUAAUAGAGACACCUUCCCUGCCCCGCCAUAAGGACAUGAAACAAUCAAUGAACGCCUCGCCAUUCACCUCCUUGGUUGUAAGAACUUCAGCAAUCAAGGUAUACUGGAAUCCUAGUAGUGCUCCUUCCACAUCUUUCCUCUCAAUAUUGAUCCCUUCUCUCUCUUUUUCAGAUAAUUUCAUUUUAGAUCCAAACCGUGAGCCCAGAUCUUCUAGCUCCCUUUUGUCGCAGUCCCUCGCCAUGUCGGAUUUCAGAGCAUCCAGCAAGCCCCCCAACGAACCCUAGUCCCCAAUUCACAGAGAUCUAGUAGAUCUCCCCUGAUUCCAAGAUCCCACGUACCUUGUUCAUCGUACAACUCUCCCUGGAGCAUCCUAACAGAUAACCGAGUCUCACCCAGCGUCGGAUCCCUCGUCCUCCCACAUCGGUGAGUCCAGGUUGCGUCUGGAAAACCCCGGUCUUCCGCACGGUUAAGCCCGUCCCCGAAAUUCGAGAAACGAAUCCUCCCACAAUUCCCACACCCAGAACCCCUCGAUCUCCUCUCGUCAACCACGAAACUUUCGAUCUUCACGACUCCGCGGGAAGUUGAGGAUAGUCCCCGGAACAAACAGGCCGCGCCGGGGAGAUGGCGGCGUAGGUUCCUAGGCACACUCAGUGUUCACAGAGCACCAACCCUCCUUUCGAGGGACACUGUUGAUGAGGCGCUCAAGUUUAAUUGGUUUAUGUUUUGUAAUGGAUCUUAACGCUCGUUUCAAACCUUUUGACAGUUGCUAAUUUCUCUUUG